This 301-nucleotide ribosomal RNA is filed under the name uncultured bacterium. RNAcentral's name for it is "partial 16S ribosomal RNA". It matches the Rfam family "Bacterial small subunit ribosomal RNA", at positions 509 to 807 of the family's 1533-position model. The record is from RNAcentral.
CAGUCGCCACGGUAGUACGAAGGGUGCAAGCGUUACUCGGAAUUACUGGGCGUAAAGCGUGCGUAGGUGGUGGUUUAAGUCCGUUGUGAAAGCCCUGGGCUCAACCUGGGAAUUGCAGUGGAUACUGGGUCACUAGAGUGUGGUAGAGGAUAGUGGAAUUUCCGGUGUAGCAGUGAAAUGCGUAGAGAUCGGAAGGAACAUCUGUGGCGAAGGCGACUAUCUGGGCCAACACUGACACUGAGGCACGAAAGCGUGGGGAGCAAACAGGAUUAGAUACCCCAGUAGUCCCUGUCUCUUAUAC